AAUUGAAGAGUUUGAUCAUGGCUCAGAUUGAACGCUGGCGGCAGGCCUAACACAUGCAAGUCGAGCGGUAACAGGAGAAGCUUGCUUCUCGCUGACGAGCGGCGGACGGGUGAGUAAUGUAUGGGGAUCUGCCCGAUAGAGGGGGAUAACCACUGGAAACGGUGGCUAAUACCGCAUAAUCUCUAAGGAGCAAAGCAGGGGAACUUCGGUCCUUGCGCUAUCGGAUGAACCCAUAUGGGAUUAGCUAGUACGUGAGGUAAUGUUUCACCUAAGCGACGAUCCCUAACUGCUCCCACACCAUGAUCUUCCACUCUGGGACUGAGACACGGGCCAUACUC
Molecule: ribosomal RNA, 338 nt
Filed under: Providencia sneebia DSM 19967
Lineage: Bacteria; Pseudomonadati; Pseudomonadota; Gammaproteobacteria; Enterobacterales; Morganellaceae
Description: bacterial SSU rRNA
Rfam family: Bacterial small subunit ribosomal RNA
Source: RNAcentral